Molecule: transfer RNA, 73 nt
Filed under: Apaloderma vittatum (bar-tailed trogon)
Lineage: Eukaryota; Metazoa; Chordata; Aves; Trogoniformes; Trogonidae
Rfam family: tRNA
About the family: Transfer RNA (tRNA) molecules are approximately 80 nucleotides in length. Their secondary structure includes four short double-helical elements and three loops (D, anti-codon, and T loops).
Source: Rfam by way of RNAcentral
GGCCCAUUAGCUCAAUCAGUUGAGCACAGCGUAAACAACACUAAGGUCACGGGUUCGAUUCCCGUUUGGUCCC